UACGUAGGGUGCGAGCGUUAAUCGGAAUUACUGGGCGUAAAGCGUGCGUAGGCGGUUCGUUAUGUCUGCUGUGAAAGCCCCGGGCUUAACCUGGGAAUGGCAGUGGAAACUGGCGGGCUUGAGUGUGGCAGAGGGGGGUGGAAUUCCGCGUGUAGCAGUGAAAUGCGUAGAGAUGCGGAGGAACACCGAUGGCGAAGGCAGCCCCCUGGGCUGACACUGACGCUCAUGCACGAAAGCGUGGGGAGCAAACAGG
Molecule: ribosomal RNA, 253 nt
Filed under: uncultured bacterium
Lineage: Bacteria
Description: partial 16S ribosomal RNA
Rfam family: Bacterial small subunit ribosomal RNA
Source: RNAcentral